CUACGGGCGGCUGCAGUGGGGAAUAUUGGACAAUGGGGGAAACCCUGAUCCAGCAAUGCCGCGUGUGUGAAGAAGGCCUGCGGGUUGUAAAGCACUUUCGGUUGGGAGGACUGCUUCUAGCACUAAUAUUGUCGGAAGUUGACGUUACCUUCAGAAGAAGCACCGGCUAACUCCGUGCCAGCAGCCGCGGUAAUACAGAGGGUGCAAGCGUUAAUCGGAAUUACUGGGCGUAAAGCGCGCGUAGGCGGCUAGAUCAGUCGGGUGUGAAAGCCCCGGGCUUAACCUGGGAACUGCAUCCGAUACUGUCUAGCUUGAGUACAGGAGAGGAGAGUGGAAUUCCACAUGUAGCGGUGAAAUGCGUAGAUAUGUGGAGGAACACCAAUGGCGAAGGCAGCUCUCUGGCCUGAUACUGACGCUGAGGUGCGAAAGCGUGGGGAGCAAACAGGAUUAGAUACCCCGGUAGUC
Molecule: ribosomal RNA, 465 nt
Filed under: uncultured bacterium
Lineage: Bacteria
Description: partial 16S ribosomal RNA
Rfam family: Bacterial small subunit ribosomal RNA
Source: RNAcentral